CCUCACUCCCACGCCACCGUCUCCUCCUCUGGGCUUCUUCUCCUGCUCCUUUCAGAUCUGCCGUGUCUAGUGGUUCCUAAUUGAUUUUAUUUACGGCUGAUUCAACUUAAAAAAGAGAAAAUAGAAAAUGAGUAUGUACGGAAGGGAUCCCUGGGGCGGUCCGCUGGAGAUAAACGCGGCGGAUUCCGCCACUGACGAUGACCGGAGUAGAAAUCUUCAGGACCUUGACAGGGCUGCUCUGUCUAGGCCUUUGGACGAGACUCAACAGAGCUGGCUUCUUGGACCAACUGAGCAGAAGAAGAAGAAGAAAUACGUCGAUCUCGGUUGUAUCAUCGUUAGUCGCAAGAUCUUCGUCUGGACUGUCGGUACUCUUCUCGUUUCCGGCUUCUUGGC
This 393-nucleotide unclassified non-coding RNA is filed under the name Hevea brasiliensis (rubber tree). The record is from RNAcentral. Lineage: Eukaryota; Viridiplantae; Streptophyta; Magnoliopsida; Malpighiales; Euphorbiaceae.